RNAcentral lists this ribosomal RNA (256 nucleotides) under uncultured bacterium. Its description in RNAcentral is "partial 16S ribosomal RNA". It matches the Rfam family "Bacterial small subunit ribosomal RNA", at positions 521 to 776 of the family's 1533-position model. The record is from RNAcentral.
UAAUACGGAGGAUCCGAGCGUUAUCCGGAUUUAUUGGGUUUAAAGGGUGCGUAGGCGGACUGUUAAGUCAGUGGUGAAAGUUUGACGCUCAACGUUAAAAUUGCCAUUGAUACUGAUAGUCUUGAGUCCAGUUGAGGUAGGCGGAAUGUGGUGUGUAGCGGUGAAAUGCAUAGAUAUACCACAGAACACCGAUUGCGAAGGCAGCUUACUAAGCUGAAACUGACGCUGAUGCACGAAAGUGUGGGGAUCAAACAGG